This 76-nucleotide transfer RNA is filed under the name Burkholderiales bacterium. RNAcentral describes it as "tRNA-Gly". It matches the Rfam family "tRNA". Rfam says of the family: Transfer RNA (tRNA) molecules are approximately 80 nucleotides in length. Their secondary structure includes four short double-helical elements and three loops (D, anti-codon, and T loops). Further hydrogen bonds mediate the characteristic L-shaped molecular structure. tRNAs have two regions of fundamental functional importance: the anti-codon, which is responsible for specific mRNA codon recognition, and the 3' end, to which the tRNAs corresponding amino acid is attached (by aminoacyl-tRNA synthetases). tRNAs cope with the degeneracy of the genetic code in two manners: having more than one tRNA (with a specific anti-codon) for a particular amino acid; and 'wobble' base-pairing, i.e. permitting non-standard base-pairing at the 3rd anti-codon position. RNAcentral also lists the same sequence under 3 other names. Lineage: Bacteria; Pseudomonadati; Pseudomonadota; Betaproteobacteria; Burkholderiales. The record is from RNAcentral.
GCGGGAAUAGCUCAGUUGGUAGAGCGCAACCUUGCCAAGGUUGAGGUCGCGAGUUCGAGACUCGUCUCCCGCUCCA